AUGGUUCCGCGGGAGCAAGCGGUAGUCUGGUGUGUGUGGGUUUGGUUGUGCCCGUGUCCUCUCAUGGGGACAGCCACUCAGUUCAGCUCUGGACAAAGGAGACUCAUGAUUUGGAUCCGCCAUGUUGUUCCGGUCGUCGGUGCUGCUUCCCCGGCUGCUUCUUGGGCGGAGGAGGGAGCUCGGUUGCUUCUUGGGCGGAGGAGGGAGCUCGGUCCAUCUGUUCGCCCAGCCGCCCAAAUCCAUGGGGGACAUGUCCACGAUUCAACGCCCGCCCGACGUUGUCACCAAGAUGUCAUUUUGCUUAUCAAUUUUUCGGGCCGGACCACCCUGCUGUCAAAUGCUAGCUCCGCCACUGCCAAGGAGGUAUAUAACUAUCCUAGUUCUGAAAUUUAA
Molecule: ribosomal RNA, 393 nt
Filed under: Triticum aestivum (bread wheat)
Lineage: Eukaryota; Viridiplantae; Streptophyta; Magnoliopsida; Poales; Poaceae
Description: partial small subunit ribosomal RNA
Source: RNAcentral